AACGAACGCUGGCGGCAGGCUUAACACAUGCCAGUCGAGCGCAUCCUUCGGGGUGAGCGGCAGACGGGUGAGUAACGCGGGGGAAUCUACCUUUUGCUACGGAAUAGCUCCGUGAAACUGGGAUUAAUACCGGAUGUGCCCUGCGGGGGAAAGAUUUAUCGUCAAGAGAUGAGCCCGCGUUGGUUUAGCUAGUUGGUGGGGUAAAGGCCUACCAAGGCGACGAUCCAUAGCGGGUCUGAGAGGAUGAUCAGCCACAUUGGAACUGAGACACGGCCCAAACUCAUACGGGAGGCAGCAGUGGGGAAUAUUAGACAAUGCGCGCAAGCCUGAUACAGCCAUGCCGCGUGAGUGAUGAAGGCCUUAGGGUUGUAAAGCUCUUUCACCGGAGAAGAUAAUGACGGUAUCCGGAGAAGAAGCCCCGGCUAACUUCGUG
This 433-nucleotide ribosomal RNA is filed under the name uncultured bacterium. RNAcentral's name for it is "partial 16S ribosomal RNA". It matches the Rfam family "Bacterial small subunit ribosomal RNA", at positions 29 to 507 of the family's 1533-position model. The record is from RNAcentral.